RNAcentral lists this ribosomal RNA (548 nucleotides) under Salmonella enterica. RNAcentral describes it as "partial 23S ribosomal RNA". It matches the Rfam family "Bacterial large subunit ribosomal RNA", at positions 1 to 588 of the family's 2925-position model. Lineage: Bacteria; Pseudomonadati; Pseudomonadota; Gammaproteobacteria; Enterobacterales; Enterobacteriaceae. RNAcentral also lists the same sequence under 1 other name. The record is from RNAcentral.
GGUUAAGCGACUAAGCGUACACGGUGGAUGCCCUGGCAGUCAGAGGCGAUGAAGGGCGUGCUAAUCUGCGAUAAGCGCCGGUAAGGUGAUAUGAACCGUUAUAACCGGCGAUACCCGAAUGGGGAAACCCAGUGUGAUUCGUCACACUAUCAUUAACUGAAUCCAUAGGUUAAUGAGGCGAACCGGGGGAACUGAAACAUCUAAGUACCCCGAGGAAAAGAAAUCAACCGAGAUUCCCCCAGUAGCGGCGAGCGAACGGGGAGGAGCCCAGAGCCUGAAUCAGCAUGUGUGUUAGUGGAAGCGUCUGGAAAGGCGCGCGAUACAGGGUGACAGCCCCGUACACAAAAGCGCAUGUGCUGUGAGCUCGAUGAGUAGGGCGGGACACGUGGUAUCCUGUCUGAAUAUGGGGGGACCAUCCUCCAAGGCUAAAUACUCCUGACUGACCGAUAGUGAACCAGUACCGUGAGGGAAAGGCGAAAAGAACCCCGGCGAGGGGAGUGAAAAAGAACCUGAAACCGUGUACGUACAAGCAGUGGGAGCCCCACCAC